This is a non-coding RNA of Malus domestica (apple), 365 nucleotides long. The record is from RefSeq and is a predicted model, not a curated record. NCBI's taxonomy places the organism in Eukaryota, Viridiplantae, Streptophyta, Magnoliopsida, Rosales, Rosaceae.
AAAAAACUCAAGCCAAGAAAUCCAUUUCCACAAUUUCUCUUACAGUCACCGCUUCUCUCUCGCUCACCGCUUCAUCGUCAACAAAUCUAAUCGCAGCCCCACUACAAACCCAUCUGGAUGGAAAACCCAUUGAGAAAUCUUGGUCGUCGACCUACACCCAGACUGCAACGUCGUUUUGACUCACCCCAGCAUCAGCAAAUUUCAACAUAAAAAAUCAUAUCAAGCUCCAUUCAUGCCCACUUCUAUUCCUAAGAGCCCGUCUUCUGUCAAUGGCGACAACGGAGGCUAAGCUUGAAGCCAAACCAGAACCAAAAGAAAUUGAAGAGAGUUCUGAACCUCUUUUCAAAUACAAGGUAAUUAAAACU